UUAGACAUAAAUAGAUUAUAUUAUUUACCGGAGUACUACGAAUAAAAUCGUUUAAAACUCAAAGAGCUUGGCGGUGCUUUAGACUUCUCAGGGGAACCUGUCUCGUAAUCGACAGUCCACGUAUCACCUCGCCUUUUUUUGUAUUCAGUAUGUAUACCGUCGUCGGCAGGUAACUUUUAAAAAUAUAGAAGUUAGCAAGAAAACUUUUAGUUUUUACGUCAGAUCAAGGUGCAGCUAAUAAAAAGGAGGAGAUGGGUUACAAUUAAAAUUUAUAAUUACGGAGGUUAUUUUUAACAAUUAACUUGAAGGCGGACUUGAAAGUAUGAAUUAGUAAUUAAAUAUUUUGAAUUUAGCUCUGAAGCG
This 363-nucleotide ribosomal RNA is filed under the name Echinolittorina porcata. RNAcentral's name for it is "partial 12S ribosomal RNA". Lineage: Eukaryota; Metazoa; Mollusca; Gastropoda; Littorinimorpha; Littorinidae. The record is from RNAcentral.